AACCAUUCUCACCUGCGGCUAGACCUGCGGAAGGAUCAUUACACAUAUAAAGUAUGCCUGGGAAAAUUCGAAAGAAAAGUACCCAGGCGUAUUCUUAUACCCAUGUCUUUUGCGUACUACUUGUUUCCUUGGUGGGCUUGCCUGCCAUUAGGACACCCCUACAAACCUUUUGUAAUUGCAGUCAGCGUCAGAAAAUAACGUAAUCGUUACAACUUUUAACAAUGGAUCUCAGAUCGGAAG
RNAcentral lists this unclassified non-coding RNA (240 nucleotides) under soil metagenome. Its description in RNAcentral is "partial contains 5.8S ribosomal RNA, internal transcribed spacer 2, and large subunit ribosomal RNA". The record is from RNAcentral.